CAGCAUACUUUAUUUUUUUACCAAAAGGCUUGAGUCCAUGCAACUCAGAGAUCCAAGGUUCUCUCUAACAAGCUCCAAUUUAUUUCACCAUAGGUCGAAGAAAAUGUAAAAGAGCGAAAGUUCUUGAUCCUUUAUUCGAUCCACAAGUCCAUAGACAUGUAACUUGAUCUCAGACUUGGAACCUUAUUAUGUUAAUUUUCUAUUCUACCAUUUUAUAUUUUGCGUGGAUAGCCUGGCAGCCUUUUCAAUGGAACAGUUAUCAUAUCACCCAGUACAAAGAAGCAUACCUCAACUCGUCCAUGUAAUACAAUGAUCUUCUCAGAUA
This 325-nucleotide unclassified non-coding RNA is filed under the name Hevea brasiliensis (rubber tree). Lineage: Eukaryota; Viridiplantae; Streptophyta; Magnoliopsida; Malpighiales; Euphorbiaceae. The record is from RNAcentral.